GUAUGUUUGAAAGUUUGCAUCAUGACAGGGAAAAAGAAAAAAAAAGAAGACUUCUUUAACAGUUACUAGUCUUUUCAAAUAAAGAGAUAAUUCUAAUGACCAGAUUGGAAGUCUAAAUCAAACGUAUCACAUUAAGGAAUGUACCUUCAAGUUUGUUGUUAAAUUUUAAGUUGGUAAGCCUGACUUGCAGGCCAUUGAGGAUCAGAAUAAAAUGUGAUUUACUAAAGGAAUUGAAUGACAGCUUAUGGUCUGCAUUCAUUGCCACUGGAUAAUUUUUUUAAGACUUUAUUUUUUAGAGUCGUUCUAGGUUCAGAGCAAAAUCAAACGGAAGGUACAGAGAUUUCUCGUCUCUCCCCUGUCUGCACACUUGCAUAGUCUACCCUAUUAUCAAUAUUCCCCACCAGAGUGGUGCACUUAUUAAACUGAUAAAUUGUAUGUUGACCCGUCAUUGUCACCCUAAAUUGGUAGUGUACACUAGGGUUCACUCUCAGUCUUGUAUAUUCUGUGGCUUUGAGUAAAUGUGUAUGACAUAUAUCCACCAUUAUGAUAUAUACAGAAUACUUUCACCUCACUAGAGAAUUCUUGCUACUUCUUUGCUCCUGUUGAAUGAGGAGGUGACUCUGGUAGCCAUGUGUGGUUCCUUUGAACCUCAUGAGUGUGAUUCCCUAUAGGUAGAGCCAACGAGGAAGACUGAGGCCAGACCUCUCAUCUCACAGGGUACCUAGCUGUCCUCUAUCCCCACACCUCAGACUCCUCAGGAGAGAUGUCUGUGGAGCUGUGGAAAGGUACCUUCUUUAUGCAAAUGAAGAGACUAUGUGCUUGGAUUUUCUCGAUGACGAUUCCUGAUUCGUGGCCCUGGCAGUCUUGGGGAAGCGUUGUCGAGUUUCUUCAAUCCAGACCUUGGGGCCUCCUUUUUCUCCACAUCACUCCCACCCAGUUGAUCGAACCACUUUCUAGGACAUAUCUCACCGGACUUCUAAGACAUGACAUGGUAGCUCCUGGAUGCAUUGAAACAUUUGUCUUUCCUCUGUAACCCCAAGAAGAUAUUGCUGAUAAACUGGGUUUGGACACCUCUGCAAUAAAGAUAGUUCGUAUACCUGAUGCUAAAACA
Molecule: long non-coding RNA, 1111 nt
Filed under: Vulpes vulpes (red fox)
Lineage: Eukaryota; Metazoa; Chordata; Mammalia; Carnivora; Canidae
Description: lncRNA (ENSVVUG00000026568.1)
Source: RNAcentral